AGAGGAGGCGCCUCUCACUGCUCUGCCGGAAAACUGCAGCCUGCGCUCCUGAUUGGACUCACCGAGCCCUAAACAAACAGCGCUCGCCGAAGGGUGCCAGGCUGUGGGUCGGAACUGCUCUCUCCAGGCUGCUGGGUGCGGAGGAUUUCUUCCGACAAGCUGGACACUGGAAGGCUGCAGAAGGGGAACUAACUGGACAGGAGGAACUCUCUUAUUGGAAUGGAUUUUUACACACACGCCCCAGUUGGAGAAAGGAGAGCGGUCCAAGCAGAGUUGAACAUGAAUACAUGGGUGCGCUGUAAAAUACGAUUUCGAGAAGGUGCGAGACCUCGCUGCGAAGAGGUCGUUUCCUUGAACUGUACCUGUGCGCUGGCGGAGAAGGGGCAGAACUUGCUGG
Molecule: long non-coding RNA, 397 nt
Organism: Phodopus roborovskii (desert hamster)
Lineage: Eukaryota; Metazoa; Chordata; Mammalia; Rodentia; Cricetidae
Exons: 3
Source: RefSeq, a predicted model, not a curated record